UACGAGGGGGGCGAGCGUUGUUCGGAAUUAUUGGGCGUAAAGGGUGCGUAGGCGGUUUGGUAAGUCUGAUGUGAAAUCUAUGGGCUCAACUCAUAGUCUGCAUGAGAAACUGCCGGGCUUGAGUAUGGGAGAGGUGAGUGGAAUUCCUGGUGUAGCGGUGAAAUGCGUAGAUAUCAGGAGGAACACCUGUGGCGAAAGCGGCUCACUGGACCAUAACUGACGCUGAUGCACGAAAGCUAGGGGAGCAAACAGG
RNAcentral lists this ribosomal RNA (253 nucleotides) under uncultured bacterium. RNAcentral's name for it is "partial 16S ribosomal RNA". It matches the Rfam family "Bacterial small subunit ribosomal RNA", at positions 524 to 776 of the family's 1533-position model. The record is from RNAcentral.